Molecule: non-coding RNA, 26 nt
Filed under: Mus musculus (house mouse)
Lineage: Eukaryota; Metazoa; Chordata; Mammalia; Rodentia; Muridae
Source: RNAcentral
UGAACGCACAUUCCAGGACCUGGACC